GAGGAGGUACAAGAUCUAGGAGGCAGGAGACGAUCUACGAGUAUUUGUAUGUGAGCAACUUCAAGUCACUACAUUGAUAAUUUUGGCUGGACGUGCCUUGAGUUCCUUAACUGUGGGUAUUACAAUGGAAGGAUGGUCACAAGGUGCUCACGAUGGCCUUCAAAUUGUCGCAAGCAUCCAAUUAGCUGCAUUUGUGACUGUAAUGUUCAACGACUUGUAUAAAGGGAAAAACAAAAUUCUAUACAAGCAGCAAGGUCAACAUUGCAAGGCGGCUAAAGAAAGAAGGUGACAAUUUCUCCAGGUGAAGUGCUCUGUGAGGAUAAAGCCACAGCGGAAAUAGAGUGCAUAGAAGAAGGAUUUCGUGCCAAGAUAACAUGGUGAUGGAUCUAAAGAGAUAAAAGUUGGUGAGAUAAUGGGAAUGGUCUGGUUCCUAAUGAGACGCACCUUGGAAAUGACUUAAAAAUUUAAACGUCCUUAUGCAUUGUUGUUGACUGGACCAAAUAUGGGCGGAAAAUCCACAUUGUUGCGAACAACAUGCUUAUCAGUUAUGUUGUCCCAAGUUAUACUAGAGGAAAUUCAGCUGCACAUAUGUUACUUGAAGCAUUAAAAUGUUAUCUCUUCAUCUCCAUGUUUUCUUGUUUGCAGCUGGGUUGCUUGGUACCUCGUGAAGAAUUAUCUUCUGUUGAUACCAUCUUUACACGUUUUGGUGCGACUGAUCGAAACAUGUCCGGUGAAAGUAAGUGGGUCAUAUAUUUUUACCCUUGCAAAUUUGUAAAUUUUAACACGCUACAUAGAGAGUGCUAUAUCUACUAAUCUUUUAAAUUGGUCUUUUGUUAGGCACUUUGUAUGUUGAAUGCUCAAAAGAAGCAUCAGCUCUUUAUAAUGCUACCAAAGAUUGUCUUGUUUUUUUUUGAUGAGCUUACUGGGGGAACGAGCACAUUUGAUGGUUAUGCGAUUGCCUGUGUAGUAAGUUCAAUUAUUUUAUUUUGGUGCAUGUGUACAUACAUAAGUAGGAAAAGCCGUCCCAGGGGAUGGGCAGAUGGUCAUUGCAUGGGGCGUUCAAGAGAUCUAGAAGUUACUUCCUGACAGCGAAAUGCUUGCCAGUUUCAUGUCCUCCCCCAUGCAAUAGUAACUGUUCAAAGGCAAAGUCAUGAUUUACCUCUCUAUAAAUGGCCAUGGGACCGAUCGUGUGAGCAUUCCGGGAUCAGUGUAUGACCUUUUGCCACCAUAAGUAGGGAAAACCAACUUAAUCCUAUUAGACAAGAAGAACAUAUCGUAGAUGACACUUUUUGAUAGUUUUGAUCUUGUUUGCGGCAAUUGACCAAAGGACGUAUUUAAAAUUGUAAACUUUUCCAAAGACGUACCUAACUUUUAGAUUUCCUAAAGAGCGUACUUGUUUUCUAUUUUACCCCUCCCAUCAAUCACUGUGGUGUUGAUUUCAAAGAACAAUAUCACAGUGGCGCUUUUCUUUCGAAAAUCAACCUCAAUUUGGUUGGAUAAACUCUAAAAUCAGUACCACUGUGGUGCUAUAACAAUAGCGUAACAGUAGUGUUGAUAUUUGAAAUGCAACAUCACAAUAAUAUUAUUCUUUGAAAUCCAACACCUUUUUAAAUAUAGUAGUGGUUGGCAGGAUGAGUAAAAUGAAAAAUAAGUAUAGAAAUCUAAAGUUAGUUGCGCAGUUUGGGAAUUCCGUAAUUUUAAAUGUGCCGUUGGGACAAUUGCUUUCUUAUUUGAAUUACGAGUAGAAAAGUUAUAUUAAUUGGUUGAUAGGAUUGUUUUAAAUUAUCAAAAAGCCUUGAAAUAAUGACUUUGAACUUUGUUUUUUUAUUGCUUUCGUUGUCCAUAUGUUUCCUUUGUUUUUUGCACAUGGUACAGCCAUCUCACCUAAUCAUUAUUUUGUAUUUAGUAUGUACCCAUAUUCAACGUAAAAGUGGUAAUUUAGAGUUCACAUGUCAGCCUUUAAAGUUUAAACCCUCUGCUAUAAUGUUUUUGCAUCUCUUAGAAAAAGUUUGCUGCAGGUUUCUGUUUGCUGCCCACUACCAUUCACGUACGAAAGAAAAUGGUUCACACCCUCAUGUUAGCCUAUAGUAGCACAUGGUCUUACUUUAAUGGCAGUUUAAUGGCAGGCCUCCCUAAGCAAGUUGUUGAAAUUACCGCAAGUGCUGGCCCAAAGAUAAAACAGCUGAUCAGUCGAAAUUUCACUCCGCCCUGCAUGAGGAAUGGUUGAAAUCGCUCUGAGAUAUUUCAAAGCACAGUGUAAGUCUGAGUGAUGAAGACACAUCUGAUAUAUUUUACUCUGUUUGUGGCGCGAAAUGAAGAGCUUUUAUAAACGCCGGUAGUAUCUUCCGAUCACCACAUCUUAUUUGACAUGCAUUCAUUUUGAAUACAUUUCCGACAAGGCUAUUGAAAGCUUGCAUUUUUUUUUUUUUUGCAUAGAUGCAGUGCAUUUGCGUUGGAAUAUAUCGUGCAUUUUUUUUUGUAAUUAAUACUUAAAAUGCAGUAUUAAGCAAUGUAUUUUUUUUUCUUUUUACCGAUAAUUUGUCAUUAGAA
Zingiber officinale is the source of this 2550-nucleotide long non-coding RNA. RefSeq lists it as uncharacterized. Lineage: Eukaryota; Viridiplantae; Streptophyta; Magnoliopsida; Zingiberales; Zingiberaceae. The transcript has 4 exons. The record is from RefSeq and is a predicted model, not a curated record.